Molecule: small RNA, 110 nt
Filed under: unclassified sequences
Description: RT-1 RNA
Source: Rfam by way of RNAcentral
AGACUGUCAAGGUCAUUAUAGGCUUCGAAAGUUGCCAUAGACCAUGACAGUAUUACCAACAGGAAACGCAUGGCAUAGACUAUUGUCAUACCGAACUCCUUGGUGAUUAU